RNAcentral lists this ribosomal RNA (231 nucleotides) under uncultured bacterium. RNAcentral's name for it is "partial 16S ribosomal RNA". It matches the Rfam family "Bacterial small subunit ribosomal RNA", at positions 99 to 334 of the family's 1533-position model. The record is from RNAcentral.
CGGACGGGUGAGUAAUGUCUGGGAAACUGUCCGAUGGAGGGGGAUAACUACUGGAAACGGUAGCUAAUACCGCAUAACGUCGCAAGACCAAAGAGGGGACCUUCGGGCCUCUUGCCAUCGGAUGUGCCCAGAUGGGAUUAGCUAGUAGGUGGGGUAACGGCUCACCUAGGCGACGAUCCCUAGCUGGUCUGAGAGGAUGACCAGCCACACUGGAACUGAGACACGGUCCAG